AGAUCGAUGUAUACAUGCAUGCCCUAGACUCAGGUGCCCCGGAGUGAAAUGGGAGUCGAACGGCUAGACAUGCCAUACAAUGUUGCCUUCUUUUCCGCAAUACCCUGAUUACCCAAUUCCUGAUGUACAUUCCGAUUCGUGUCUCUACUGCAGAACUUUAGCUCAUAGAGCAGAAAACUCGUAUCAUCUCUCUAUGUAUGGUGUCGAGCAAUGGAACUGCAGUGAUCUGGCAGUGUGACUGUUGACCUCCUUGACACCAUUCACGUUCGUCGCUCUGAACCCACUCAGCAGACAAGUUGGCAUAGACAUGUUUACAUCAGCAAUCUUUUCUUUGAGAUAUCUGGUGGCCUUUCGUAACCAUCGAAUUCAAGUCAUCUUUGAGUACAUGACAUCUUCUGAAGUUCGUGCCAUCAUGCUUUAGUUUUCCCACAU
Long non-coding RNA from Triticum dicoccoides, 432 nucleotides. RefSeq lists it as uncharacterized. The transcript is spliced from 3 exons. The record is from RefSeq and is a predicted model, not a curated record. Lineage: Eukaryota; Viridiplantae; Streptophyta; Magnoliopsida; Poales; Poaceae.